Molecule: unclassified non-coding RNA, 329 nt
Filed under: soil metagenome
Description: partial contains 5.8S ribosomal RNA, internal transcribed spacer 2, and large subunit ribosomal RNA
Rfam family: 5.8S ribosomal RNA (bases 1-120)
Source: RNAcentral
GAUGAAGAACGCAGCGAAAUGCGAUAAGUAAUGUGAAUUGCAGAAUUCAGUGAAUCAUCGAAUCUUUGAACACACAUUGCGCCCCUUGGUAUUCCGAGGGGCAUGCCUGUUCGAGCGUCAUUAUAACCCCUCAAGCUCAGCUUGGUGUUGGGGCCUGCUGCACUGGCAGCCCUUAAAAUCAGUGGCGGCGCCAUCUGGCUCUAAGCGUAGUAAUUCUUCUCGCUAUGGAGUCCUGGUGGAUGCUUGCCAUCAACCCCCAAUUUUUCUAUGGAUGACCUCGGAUCAGGUAGGGAUACCCGCUGAACUUAAGCAUAUCAAUAAGCGGAGGA